RNAcentral lists this ribosomal RNA (254 nucleotides) under uncultured bacterium. RNAcentral describes it as "partial 16S ribosomal RNA". It matches the Rfam family "Bacterial small subunit ribosomal RNA", at positions 524 to 776 of the family's 1533-position model. The record is from RNAcentral.
UACGUAGGUGGCAAGCGUUGUCCGGAUUUACUGGGCGUAAAGAGCGCGCAGGCGGUCGUUCAAGUCGCGUGUGAAAGCCCCCGGCUCAACUGGGGAGGGUCACGCGAUACUGAUCGACUCGAAGGCAGGAGAGGGUAGUGGAAUUCCCGGUGUAGUGGUGAAAUGCGUAGAUAUCGGGAGGAAAACCAGUGGCGAAGGCGACUACCUGGCCUGUUUCUUGACGCUGAGGCGCGAAAGCUAGGGGAGCAAACAGG